ACUCCCCAAGCUGGAAUCCCUACUAAUCCCGAUCACCAUCCCCCCGUGAAUACCUUCCCCCCCUUCUACACACCCCCCCUCACACCACCACACUUUCUAACACCCCAACUCCCUCACGUAACCUUUUACGACCCACCCCCCCAACGUGCGACACAUCAUUCGCGUCAACUCCUAACAACCUACCCCUAUCCGAACGUGCGCCUCCAUCACGUCCUUUCUAACGAUAUUAUACCGAAUAUAAGACCUUCGGUCUUAUAAACAGAACCUUCCCUGUCUUCUUUACUUUUCAACGAUCAUUCCUUCCAAACCUCUUCUUUCAAAACUACAUAACAGUACACAUCACAUUCAACUAAUACAACAUAUCACAUAGUCAUUCUUUUUAACCCUUAACUUAGAAACGCCCCACCGUCGAUGCCUUCCCACUAGGACCCCAUGAACGACCGGACCAACACCCA
This 455-nucleotide ribosomal RNA is filed under the name Bacillus subtilis. RNAcentral describes it as "16S ribosomal RNA". Lineage: Bacteria; Bacillati; Bacillota; Bacilli; Caryophanales; Bacillaceae. The record is from RNAcentral.